UACGGAGGGUGCGAGCGUUGUCCGGAAUCACUGGGCGUAAAGCGUGCGCAGGCGGUUUUGUAAGUCUGUUGUGAAAUCCCCGGGCUUAACCUGGGAAUGGCAAUGGAGACUGCAAGGCUAGAGUUUGGCAGAGGGGGGUAGAAUUCCACGUGUAGCAGUGAAAUGCGUAGAGAUGUGGAGGAACACCGAUGGCGAAGGCAGCCCCCUGGGUCAAGACUGACGCUCAUGCACGAAAGCGUGGGGAGCAAACAGG
This 253-nucleotide ribosomal RNA is filed under the name uncultured bacterium. Its description in RNAcentral is "partial 16S ribosomal RNA". It matches the Rfam family "Bacterial small subunit ribosomal RNA", at positions 524 to 776 of the family's 1533-position model. The record is from RNAcentral.